RNA transcript from Pundamilia nyererei, 1222 nucleotides. It is a transcript of the gene named vascular endothelial growth factor A-A-like, with no coding region annotated. The transcript is spliced from 6 exons. The record is from RefSeq and is a predicted model, not a curated record. Lineage: Eukaryota; Metazoa; Chordata; Actinopteri; Cichliformes; Cichlidae.
UGCAACAGUCACCGGUUAAUGGUAAGCGUAUAUAGUAUACAUUCAGCCAUGCUGGCGCGCGCUUUUCAUCGCAGCCUUCCUCGCGCAGCGGGACUGUGCUCGUUAUAAAAGCUCCAGCCGCUUCUCCGCUCUCCCUUCAACAUUUUCAUUUCUUUCUGGCCGACUAGAGGAUAGCAGGAACUCAUUCCCGGCAGCAGCAGCAUGCAAACUUUCCUCGGAAUCCUGCUGCUUCUGCUGGUCCUUCAGCGGGUACCUGCGCAGAUAUCAGAUGAAGAGGGUCCCAAUACAGUAAUUCAGUUGUCUGAGGUGAUGGCAAAGUGCUCGUGUCAGGUCAUGGACCAGCUGGUGUAUGUGUACGAUGAGUACCCCCAGUCGGUGGAGAACAUCUACAUGCCUCAUUGUGUGGUGGUUCGCCGAUGCUCUGGUUACUGUUCGGGUGAGGAAUUCAAGUGCCUUCCUACCCUCGAACGCAACGCCACUCUGCAGCUGAAGAUUUCUUCCCAAGAACAGCCUGUGGAGCUCACAUUUCUAGAACAUCAGCAGUGUCAAUGCAGAGACCCUGAGAAUCUUCCGUACUAUGAAAGAUCAGUAAUUAAGUCAGUAAGUAACACAGUGAGUAAUGAGUGUUUUGUCUAUCAGAGUUGAACACAUCAAUAUUUCUGAGGUCUUUCUCCUGCAGCAGCAGCAGCAGCAGCAAGUCCACUGAGAGCAGACCUCGGAGGAGGAAACAUACCAAGAAAUGGCUGUAGAAACUGCCAGUUCCAGACAAGAAGAUCACUCUUCGCUGAUUUGCACCUGGUGAAUAUGGAGUGGUGAACAUCACAUAUCUCCAUCCAUUCCCAUAUAUUUUAUAACUUAUAUACUGUUUUGUUUUGUUUUUUUUGCUGAGUAAUCACCAAAGCAACCCUAACCCUGGAUGUGUACAGUUCCUUUGGCCAUGGCCUCCAUUUUUCCGUUUUCAUCUAUUUAUCUUUUCACUUUAAGCUUCCUGCUGUGUUACGUUUUCAAAACAGACACAGUAUACAGAACACAUACAGAAUAGGAUCAGAGAUAAUGGCUGGAAUGCUUUGAGCUUUUCAACCAGGUUUAAAGCCUAAAUCCAUCCCUUAAGUGUUUAUUAACUUGUCAGAUUAAUGGCAUGUGGUGUCUUUGUGACUUUUAUUCUGCUGUCUGCAUUUUUGUGCCAUUUGUAUAUAAAAGAAUAUUUAUAUAUGUAUCUAUU